CUGGUUGAUCCUGCCAGAGGUUACUGCUAUCGAGGUUCGACUAAGCCAUGCGAGUCGAAUGUAGCAAUACAUGGCGUACUGCUCAGUAACACGUGGAUAACCUACCCUUAGAACGGGGAUAAACCCGGGAAACUGGGUAUAAUACCCGAUAGAUCUCGACUGCUGGAAUGCAUCGAGAUCCAAAGCUCCGGCGUCUAAGGAUGGAUCUGCGGCCUAUCAGGUAGUAGUGGGUGUAGCGUACCUACUAGCCUACGACGGGUACGGGUUGUGAGAGCAAGAGCCCGGAGAUGGAUUCUGAGACACGAAUCCAGGCCCUACGGGGUGCAGCAGGCGCAAAAACUUUACAAUGCUGGCAACAGCGAUAAGGGGACCUCGAGUGCCAGGUUACAAAUCUGGCUGUCGUGAUGCCUAAAAAGCAUUGCAUAGCAAGGGCCGGGCAAGACCGGUGCCAGCCGCCGCGGUAACACCGGCGGCCCGAGUGGUGGCCACUAUUAUUGGGUCUAAAGGGUCCGUAGCCGGUUUGGUCAGUCUUCCGGGAAAUCUGGCGGCUUAACUGUCAGGCUUUCAGGAGAUACUGUCUGGCUCGAGGCCGGGAGAGGUGAGAGGUACUUCAGGGGUAGGGGUGAAAUCUUGUAAUCCUUGAAGGACCACCAGUGGCGAAGGCGUCUCACCAGAACGGACCUGACGGCAAGGGACGAAAGCUAGGGGCACGAACCGGAUUAGAUACCCGGGUAGUCCUAGCCGUAAACGAUACUCGCUAGGUGUCGGCCACGGUGCGACCGUUGUCGGUGCCGUAGGGAAGCCGUGAAGCGAGCCACCUGGGAAGUACGGCCGCAAGGCUGAAACUUAAAGGAAUUGGCGGGGGAGCACCACAACGGGUGGAGCUUGCGGUUUAAUUGGAUUCAACGCCGGA
Molecule: ribosomal RNA, 913 nt
Filed under: uncultured Methanosarcinales archaeon
Lineage: Archaea; Methanobacteriati; Methanobacteriota; Methanomicrobia; Methanosarcinales
Description: bacterial SSU rRNA
Rfam family: Archaeal small subunit ribosomal RNA
Source: RNAcentral